UGAUAACAACGGGUAUAUUAUGUUAAUAAUUUAAAUAAAAAACCGACACGGCAACACUAAAAACAAAUGCAACAAAAAAAAUUAUAUUCUAAGAUUCAUCAGACAGUACCUGAUCGCCUACAAUAUAUUUCAAAACAUAUAAAUAUAUCAAUACAAUUCAUCAGUCAAAAUUAUGAACACCGUAUGAGCAACCGAGAAAAGGUAAGGUAGUGCUAGUGAAGUACAGGUAAAAUAAAUAAAUGGUAAGAAUAUUACAAAAUAUUUUUAUUAUUUUGUAAGUUUUCGAUAAAUGAUAUUCUAUUGCCGUCAUUGAUUAUAGCUCAGGCUAUAGUACAUUGCUCUUAUGAUAUAAGCGGACACGAAUAAUAAUAUACAGAAAUACGGGACUAGACUAUUUUUAAUUUAACAACCCUACUGUUAAAGAAUAUAGAUAUAAAAGAGGAACAGCUGGGCGAUUCCAGUAAAAUCCAUAACAGCAAAGCGGUAAUCUAUCAAUUAUGAGCAAACUUAAUCACACAGAUUUCAAUCUGAAGCCAUAAGUUAACGUAAAAUUGAAUGAACAAUAAGGGACUAAACUACUUUUAAUAACUUGUUGAGACAUAAGGGAACAAAAAAUAAUCGUAUUCCAUUUCAGAUUGACUAGAUAAACGGCUGGAAAAUUUCAGCAAAGUAGAUACAGGGGAAAAAAACACAUCUAGCAGCAAUAAUCAGCAUAUACACAUAACAAAAAACAAGAAAAUCAAAAGUGGAAAACAGGAUCAAGACGACCAGCAGAAGAUUAAUUUCAUUUGAUAGAAAACCUGUAACAUUUGCACUACUUUCAAUAUACACAGUUGAAACUAAAAUCAAUAGAACCCUUUUUAAAUAUACAGUAACUAUAAUAAUACUUAUUGAAUAAAAUGAUAAAAAUAAUAUAAAAAAAAAAAUAAAA
Long non-coding RNA from Aphis gossypii (cotton aphid), 931 nucleotides. RefSeq lists it as uncharacterized. The record is from RefSeq and is a predicted model, not a curated record. NCBI's taxonomy places the organism in Eukaryota, Metazoa, Arthropoda, Insecta, Hemiptera, Aphididae. The transcript has 2 exons.